CAGUGAGAGGCUCAACGAGGUCAAGGUCUUGCUACAUUUUGAAUUGUGUUUACUUAUUAUAUAUGUGAGGCAGUGAGAGUAUAAGAUGGUUUAUUUUCUAGAAAGAUGUAAGAAAACUGCAAUGAAAAAAUGCAAAGAUAAAAGAAUGAAGAUAAAGGUAAAUUCAGCAUGAUCCACUUCAAUGAAGACCUUCGACAAUGUAAGCCACGUCUCAUAACAUAUCUGCUGUCAUUUUGUAUUCAGAACCUGUGGGAACAUUAAGAAUAUCCAUAACGAUUUAUCAUAACGGAAGAGGUCCAGUGUUUGUCAAAUCCGUAAACGUAGAUUUUUUGCUUUUGAGGUGUGUCUUUAUUAAGUGAUUCUUGAAGAUAUAUUGCACUGGGCUGAAGAUGAGUGCCACAAAGGUUCCAUACAGCUCAUCACCAGCUUAGUCGACCAAGGGCGCGCAUUGGUCCUUUUGCCACCUUGACUUCGUAUAUUAGAAUUUCUUUGGAUGUUUUAGUCACCAUGAAUUAGGGAUGUAUGAUAACAUUUCAGUGAUAAUCCAGACCUACAUAUAACCUUGAUUUAGUGACUUGUAAGAUGUUAAUCGUGCAUCUCUUCUGUCAGACAAAUUUUUGAAACUUUUGUUCACUAUUCCUCGUCCUUUCAUUUACAUAUACUGCAGAUUUGGAGAAGACGUCUUGAGCAAAUGAGAUUCGGCAAGAGCUGGCUAUUUCUGAGUUAGUCAAGUGAUCUUGAUGAAUAUUGAUUUGUGCCAUAUGAGAAAUUAUGAAUACUUUCACUGUGUGUAGCUUGUAAUGAGUGACUUUAUUUUAAGGAUAUUCCCCAAUACAAACCAAUUGUUGAUGAAAAUCGAUUCAACAGAGGAGGUUUCAAGAAGUCAAGUUUUAGAAGGCGCUGAUGUGCUUGUUCUUUUAUUUGUAGUUUGAUGAUGUAAAUUUGAAUAGAC
Molecule: long non-coding RNA, 952 nt
Filed under: Olea europaea (common olive)
Lineage: Eukaryota; Viridiplantae; Streptophyta; Magnoliopsida; Lamiales; Oleaceae
Description: long non-coding RNA (OEUR_LNC007770)
Source: RNAcentral